RNAcentral lists this ribosomal RNA (252 nucleotides) under uncultured bacterium. RNAcentral's name for it is "partial 16S ribosomal RNA". It matches the Rfam family "Bacterial small subunit ribosomal RNA", at positions 1249 to 1500 of the family's 1533-position model. The record is from RNAcentral.
ACAGGAGGGCGACCUUGAGCAAAUCCCAAAAAUAAACGUCCCAGUUCGGAUUGUAGCCUGCAACCCGGCUACAUGAAGCUGGAAUCGCUAGUAAUCGCAGAUCAGAAUGCUGCGGUGAAUACGUUCCCGGGUCUUGUACACACCGCCCGUCACACCAUGAGAGUUGGGGAUACCCGAAGCCUGUGAGCUAACUUUUAGAGGCAGCAGUCGAAGGUAGAAUCAAUGAUUGGGGUGAAGUCGUAACAAGGUAUC